RNAcentral lists this ribosomal RNA (539 nucleotides) under uncultured bacterium. Its description in RNAcentral is "bacterial SSU rRNA". It matches the Rfam family "Bacterial small subunit ribosomal RNA", at positions 356 to 896 of the family's 1533-position model. The record is from RNAcentral.
GAGGAAUAUUGGUCAAUGGGCGCGAGCCUGAACCAGCCAAGUAGCGUGCAGGAUGACGGCCCUAUGGGUUGUAAACUGCUUUUGUAUGGGGAUAAAGUCAAUCACGUGUGAUUGUUUGCAGGUACCAUACGAAUAAGGACCGGCUAAUUCCGUGCCAGCAGCCGCGGUAAUACGGAAGGUCCGGGCGUUAUCCGGAUUUAUUGGGUUUAAAGGGAGCGUAGGCCGGAGAUUAAGUGUGUUGUGAAAUGUAGACGCUCAACGUCUGACUUGCAGCGCAUACUGGUUUCCUUGAGUACGCACAACGUUGGCGGAAUUCGUCGUGUAGCGGUGAAGUGCUUAGAUAUGACGAAGAACUCCGAUUGCGAAGGCAGCUGACGGGAGCGCAACUGACGCUUAAGCUCGAAGGUGCGGGUAUCGAACAGGAUUAGAUACCCUGGUAGUCCGCACAGUAAACGAUGGAUGCCCGCUGUUGGUACCUGGUAUCAGCGGCUAAGCGAAAGCAUUAAGCAUCCCACCUGGGGAGUACGCCGGCAACGGUG